AGAAUCAACGCUGGCGGCGUGCCUAACACAUGCAAGUCGAACGAGAAAGUGGAGCAAUCCAUGAGUAAAGUGGCGCACGGGUGAGUAACACGUGACUAACCUACCCUUGAGUGGGGGAUAACCUAGGGAAACCUGGGCUAAUACCGCAUAAUACCUUCGGGUCAAAGGAGCAAUUCGCUUAAGGAGGGGGUCGCGGCCGAUUAGUUAGUUGGCGGGGUAAUGGCCCACCAAGACUAUGAUCGGUAUCCGGCCUGAGAGGGCGCACGGACACACUGGAACUGAAACACGGUCCAGACUCCUACGGGAGGCAGCAGUGGGGAAUUUGCGCAAUGGGGGAAACCUUGACGCAGCAACGCCGCGUGGAGGAUGAAGUCCCUUGGGACGUAAACUCCUUUCGAUCGGGACGAUUAUGACGGUACCGAGAGAAGAAGCCCCGGCUAACUUCGCGCCAGCAGCCGC
This 459-nucleotide ribosomal RNA is filed under the name uncultured bacterium. Its description in RNAcentral is "SSU rRNA". It matches the Rfam family "Bacterial small subunit ribosomal RNA", at positions 26 to 518 of the family's 1533-position model. The record is from RNAcentral.